CACCCGUGUGCCACAGUCCCGCAAUUUAAAAAAAAUGCGACCCAUAAACAAGUGAAGUGUUAGUGCAACGCUGUGGGGGAUUUUAACACAUGUGGCAAAGGGGCAUAAGGUUCGAUACGGCGUGGCACAAGCCGGGGUAGUUUGCAACGUGUUUAGACGUCUUUGUGCUUCGGAAUGAUAAGGUGGCCUCGUGACAUGUGACGCGGGUCUGUGAGCGGCAUGCGGGUCGCACGCUCCGAGCGGGCCGGUGUCUCGCUGGCCGCGCUCGCUUUACUACUGCUAUGGCCGCUCUGUACCGCCGAGGAUACCACCACCGCUGCUCCGUUCAAUGCAGCAACACGCGGCACGUCGAUGUACGGCGACGGUUGCUCCAUCACCAACGACUGUGGCUUCGCCGACUCCAUCUGCGACGAGAGCCUCAAGACCUGCCACUGCCACCCUGACAAGCCGGCUACCAAUUACGUGGACAAAUGUGGAAAACCGUCCAGCAUAAACGAGUCAUGCACGUUCAACGAGCAGUGCGAGGAGGCGGUGAUCAUGACGGAAUGCCGCAACGACCGCUGCGCGUGCAAGUACGAGAUGGUUGCCGAGGCCACUGUGGACGGAGGCGUGGUGUGUCAACCGGAAAAACAAGUGGAACUGUCGACGAAAACAAUCGACCCUGCGAUGAUUGGCGUACUUGUCGGCAUGGCGCUGAUGUUCGUCAUUAUCUGUGUCGUGCUGCGGCUCUUUAGCAGAGCCCGAUGGAGAGAGAAUCGUACAAUCUUCAACACGCCCAAUCCUCGACUGAUGAAUGUUUCAUUGCUGAGGGACUCCAAGCUGCUGCAUUCUCAGGACCGCCGCGGGUCCCGAGUGAGCAUGCGCCCGCCAUCAAGACAGGCUAGCCAGCAGGAGCUCAGACCGCACUCACCUAGUCCAGGUAUUUAGACUCAUAGCACGCCAUCACCAAAGCCAUCAGCUUCACCGAAAACCCUCAGGGUCUCGGCGUGGAUCAAGAGCCAGCAGUGGGCAUUCAGCGACCUCUCUCAGGUCCGCCACUCUUCGAUCGCCAACCACUCCUGG
This 1062-nucleotide unclassified non-coding RNA is filed under the name Leguminivora glycinivorella. RNAcentral's name for it is "uncharacterized LOC125242637, transcript variant X6". The record is from RNAcentral. Lineage: Eukaryota; Metazoa; Arthropoda; Insecta; Lepidoptera; Tortricidae.